This 815-nucleotide ribosomal RNA is filed under the name Alcaligenes faecalis. RNAcentral describes it as "bacterial SSU rRNA". It matches the Rfam family "Bacterial small subunit ribosomal RNA", at positions 60 to 863 of the family's 1533-position model. The record is from RNAcentral. Lineage: Bacteria; Pseudomonadati; Pseudomonadota; Betaproteobacteria; Burkholderiales; Alcaligenaceae.
AGUCGAACGGCAGCGCGAGAGAGCNUGCUCUCUUGGCGGCGNAGUGGCGGACGGGWGAGUAAUAUAUCGGAACGUGCCCAGUAGCGGGGGAUAACUACUCGAAAGAGUGGCUAAUACCGCAUACGCCNUACGGGGGAAAGGGGGGGAUCGCAAGACCUCUCACUAUUGGAGCGGCCGAUAUCGGAUUAGCUAGUUGGUGGGGUAAAGGCUCACCAAGGCAACGAUCCGUAGCUGGUUUGAGAGGACGACCAGCCACACUGGGACUGAGACACGGCCCAGACUCCUACGGGAGGCAGCAGUGGGGAAUUUUGGACAAUGGGGGAAACCCUGAUCCAGCCAUCCCGCGUGUAUGAUGAAGGCCUUCGGGUUGUAAAGUACUUUUGGCAGAGAAGAAAAGGUAUCCCCUAAUACGGGAUACUGCUGACGGUAUCUGCAGAAUAAGCACCGGCUAACUACGUGCCAGCAGCCSCGGUAAUACGUAGGGUGCAAGCGUURAUCGGAAUUACUGGGCGUAAAGCGUGUGUAGGCGGUUCGGAAAGAAAGAUGUGAAAUCCCAGGGCUCAACCUUGGAACUGCAUUUUUAACUGCCGAGCUAGAGUAUGUCAGAGGGGGGUAGAAUUCCACGUGUAGCAGUGAAAUGCGUAGAUAUGUGGAGGAAUACCGAUGGCGAAGGCAGCCCCCUGGGAUAAUACUGACGCUCAGACACGAAAGCGUGGGGAGCAANCAGGAUUAGDUNRCCCUGGUAGUCCACGCCCUAAACGAUGUCAACUAGCUGUUGGGGCCGUUAGGCCUUAGUAGCGCAGCUAACGCGUGAA